Molecule: ribosomal RNA, 466 nt
Filed under: uncultured bacterium
Lineage: Bacteria
Description: partial 16S ribosomal RNA
Rfam family: Bacterial small subunit ribosomal RNA
Source: RNAcentral
GACGAACGCUGGCGGCGUGCUUAACACAUGCAAGUCGAACGGAAAGGCCCUGCUUUUGUGGGGUGCUCGAGUGGCGAACGGGUGAGUAACACGUGAGUAACCUGCCCUUGACUUUGGGAUAACUUCAGGAAACUGGGGCUAAUACCGGAUAGGAGCUCCUGCUGCAUGGUGGGGGUUGGAAAGUUUCGGCGGUUGGGGAUGGACUCGCGGCUUAUCAGCUUGUUGGUGGGGUAGUGGCUUACCAAGGCUUUGACGGGUAGCCGGCCUGAGAGGGUGACCGGCCACAUUGGGACUGAGAUACGGCCCAGACUCCUACGGGAGGCAGCAGUGGGGAAUAUUGCACAAUGGGCGGAAGCCUGAUGCAGCAACGCCGCGUGCGGGAUGACGGCCUUCGGGUUGUAAACCGCUUUCGCUGUGACGAAGCGUGAGUGACGGUAAUGGGGAAAGAAGCACCGGCUAACUACGU